Molecule: small RNA, 27 nt
Filed under: Bombyx mori (domestic silkworm)
Lineage: Eukaryota; Metazoa; Arthropoda; Insecta; Lepidoptera; Bombycidae
Description: ovarian small RNA-11233
Source: RNAcentral
ACCAGUCAACCAAAGGUAGUGCAGAGA